GAUGAACGCUGGCGGCGUGCUUAACACAUGCAAGUCGAACGAAGCAUCCUCAUCCGUGGAAGGGAGUAGCUUGCUACGAACGGACACACCCGAGGAUGACUUAGUGGCGGACGGGUGAGUAACGCGUGGGUAACCUGCCCCAUAGAGGGGGACAACAGUUGGAAACGACUGCUAAUACCGCAUAGUAAUGUAGAUCCGCAUGCUUCUACAUUGAAAGCUUUUGCGCUAUGGGAUGGACCCGCGUCUGAUUAGCUAGUUGGUGAGGUAACGGCCCACCAAGGCAACGAUCAGUAGCCGGCUUGAGAGAGUGAACGGCCACAUUGGGACUGAGACACGGCCCAAACUCC
This 347-nucleotide ribosomal RNA is filed under the name uncultured Lachnospiraceae bacterium. RNAcentral's name for it is "bacterial SSU rRNA". It matches the Rfam family "Bacterial small subunit ribosomal RNA", at positions 28 to 339 of the family's 1533-position model. Lineage: Bacteria; Bacillati; Bacillota; Clostridia; Lachnospirales; Lachnospiraceae. The record is from RNAcentral.